GACGAACGCUGGCGGCGUGCCUAAUACAUGCAAGUCGAACGAACCGCGACUGAGUGCUUGCACUAAGUCAAGGUGAGUGGCGAACGGGUGAGUAACACGUGGGUAACCUACCUCAUAGUGGGGGAUAACAGUCGGAAACGACUGCUAAUACCGCAUAGGACAUAGGACCACAUGAUCCAGUGAGGAAAGGUGGCGCAAGCUAUCGCUAAGAGAUGGACCCGCGGUGCAUUAGCUAGUUGGUAGGGUAAAGGCCUACCAAGGCGAUGAUGCAUAGCCGACCUGAGAGGGUGAUCGGCCACAUUGGGACUGAGACACGGCCCAAACUCCUACGGGAGGCAGCAGUAGGGAAUCUUCCGCAAUGGACGCAAGUCUGACGGAGCAACGCCGCGUGAGUGAAGAAGGUCUUCGGAUCGUAAAGCUCUGUUGUUAGAGAAGAACAGCGCAUAGAGUAACUGUUAUGCGUGUGA
This 467-nucleotide ribosomal RNA is filed under the name Abiotrophia defectiva. Its description in RNAcentral is "bacterial SSU rRNA". It matches the Rfam family "Bacterial small subunit ribosomal RNA", at positions 28 to 472 of the family's 1533-position model. The record is from RNAcentral. Lineage: Bacteria; Bacillati; Bacillota; Bacilli; Lactobacillales; Aerococcaceae.